GAGAAGAGUCCAUCCAGACGAAAGCUGUGGGGACAUAUAUCUUGAACUUAUCUUCUAAAAAAAAUUUUAGAGCUAGAAAAUUGUUAUUAUAUGCCUAAGACCAUUAGGAAUAUUAUUUCUAUACUGCUGCUAUUGCAACAAGGAUGUAAAAUAAAUAGAAAGGGUAAUAGUUGCUCAAUUUCUUUUUCUAAUAAAAUUCUCUAUCAUGGUAUUUUGGAUAAUG
This 223-nucleotide long non-coding RNA is filed under the name Elaeis guineensis (African oil palm). RNAcentral's name for it is "long non-coding RNA (EGUI_LNC043509)". Lineage: Eukaryota; Viridiplantae; Streptophyta; Magnoliopsida; Arecales; Arecaceae. The record is from RNAcentral.